UACGAAGGGGGCUAGCGUUGCUCGGAAUCACUGGGCGUAAAGCGCACGUAGGCGGCCGUUCAAGUCGGGGGUGAAAGCCUGUGGCUCAACCACAGAAUUGCCUUCGAUACUGGACGGCUCGAGACCGGAAGAGGUCAGUGGAACUGCGAGUGUAGAGGUGAAAUUCGUAGAUAUUCGCAAGAACACCAGUGGCGAAGGCGGCUGACUGGUCCGGUUCUGACGCUGAGGCGCGAAAGCGUGGGGAGCAAACAGG
This 253-nucleotide ribosomal RNA is filed under the name uncultured bacterium. RNAcentral describes it as "partial 16S ribosomal RNA". It matches the Rfam family "Bacterial small subunit ribosomal RNA", at positions 524 to 776 of the family's 1533-position model. The record is from RNAcentral.